Small nucleolar RNA from Macadamia integrifolia, 107 nucleotides. NCBI's taxonomy places the organism in Eukaryota, Viridiplantae, Streptophyta, Magnoliopsida, Proteales, Proteaceae. The record is from RefSeq and is a predicted model, not a curated record.
AGGCCACGGUGAGGGCAUUCUUGGAGUAGAUCGUUGAAUCUCUCUAAGAGUUUAGAAAAGGAAUCAUAAGACUUUUACCUAAACUGAAGGAUAUCAUUUCUAAGCUU